Sebastes umbrosus (honeycomb rockfish) is the source of this 168-nucleotide long non-coding RNA. RefSeq lists it as uncharacterized. The record is from RefSeq and is a predicted model, not a curated record. NCBI's taxonomy places the organism in Eukaryota, Metazoa, Chordata, Actinopteri, Perciformes, Sebastidae. The transcript has 3 exons.
AAUUCGGCAUCGGCGAGUACGCAUGUCUAUGCACCGAUUUGAUACCAUCAUUUAUUAACCCGGAGAAAAAUCAACUCGUUUAACCGGAAAUCAGUUCCGCACGUUCAGGUAUUGGAAUCGGUAUCUGGAAGGAAAAAAUGGUAUCGGAACAUCUCUACAGAUAAUUGU